CCUACGGGUGGCAGCAGUGAGGAAUAUUGGUCAAUGGACGAGAGUCUGAACCAGCCAAGUAGCGUGAAGGAUGACUGCCCUAUGGGUUGUAAACUUCUUUUAUAUGGGAAUAAAACGUUCCACGUGUGGGAUUUUGUAUGUACCAUAUGAAUAAGGAUCGGCUAACUCCGUGCCAGCAGCCGCGGUAAUCCGGAGGAUCCGCGCGUUAUCCGGAUUUAUUGGGUUUACAGGGAGCGUAGGUGGAGUGGUAAGUCAGUUGUGAAAGUUUGCGGCUCAACCGUAAAAUUGCAGUUGAAACUGGCAGUCUUGAGUACAGUAGAGGUGGGCGGAAUUCGUGGUGUAGCGGUGAAAUGCUUAGAUAUCACGAAGAACUCCGAUUGCGAAGGCAGUUCACUGGACUGCAACUGACACUGAGGCUCGAAAGUGUGGGUAUCAAACAGGAUUAGAUACCCGUGUAGUC
RNAcentral lists this ribosomal RNA (460 nucleotides) under uncultured bacterium. RNAcentral describes it as "partial 16S ribosomal RNA". It matches the Rfam family "Bacterial small subunit ribosomal RNA", at positions 338 to 795 of the family's 1533-position model. The record is from RNAcentral.